ACACCUCAACUCUUCAUGGUUUUCCAUGAUGAGCUUGGACUUUGGGGGCUUUGCUGGCCCGUGGUCAGCUCCUCUCAAAUGGAUCAGCUUGCCAGUGUUUGGUGGGCAUCACAGGUGUGAUAACUAUCUACGCUUGUGGUUUUCCACCAGGUAACCUUCAGCAGUGGAGGUUCACUGGAGCUCACAGAUGUCCCUCCUCAGUGAGGACAGCCCUUUGAAU
RNAcentral lists this unclassified non-coding RNA (220 nucleotides) under uncultured Tomentella. RNAcentral describes it as "sequence contains ITS2". Lineage: Eukaryota; Fungi; Basidiomycota; Agaricomycetes; Thelephorales; Thelephoraceae. The record is from RNAcentral.